CAAUACACCAAAUGCCAAACUCCAAACCUGUAGAAUGGCCAGAGAUUUGCUCCACACGGCUACUGCAACUAGACCCAAAAACUUAGGUGACACCAUGGCUGAUAGUGAUAAGUUCAACUUGAUUGCAACACAGAAAAUGGAAGAAAGGCACUGUAUGGGGAACUGAAACUUCUCUCUAUGGCAUAGAUAAAUCUAGUGCUCUCCCCGGCAAAAUUAAAGUAACCGGUCCAUCGAUCUUCUUCCUCUAAAGCCAUUUGAAGAGGAUGCCUCCAUGGGUGGCGAAGAAGGGGGCAAAGACCAGGGACUCAACGGCCAUGAGCUUGAUGAGGAUAUUCAGUGAUGGGCCUGAGGUGUCCUUGAGCGGAUCACCGAUGGUGUCACCAAUGACAGCAGCUUUGUGUGGAUCGGAGCCUUUGGGGCCCAGAGUUCUUGCGUGCUCAGAUGCACCAGCCUGUAAAACCAUGGAGAGAACCAAAGUUAGUCGAGUUUGACAAAUAUGGAUAGGAAGAAAACUGCUGAUUGAUAGGUGCUAUUGUUUCUACCUCGAUGUAUUUCUUUGCAUUGUCCCAGGCACCUCCAGUGUUGGAUGCAGAGAUUGCAAUCUGAAUGAGAAUAUAGAUAAUUAGUUAUGAAUGAAACAUGCCGACAUCACAAGAGAUUAUAACAAUGAAAGCAACCACGGAAAGAGUACCAACCUGGACACCAGAAACAAGAGCACCAGCAAGAACACCAGAGAGGGUCUCAACACCAAACAAGAUCCCAACAAUAAGCGGGGUGAGCAUGACAAGUGCGCCUGGGGGGAUCAUCUCCUUGAUAGACGCAUCAGUGGAGAUCUUGACACAUGUCGCAUAGUCAGGCUUGGUGGUGCCCUCCAUGAGCCCAGGGAUG
This 888-nucleotide long non-coding RNA is filed under the name Setaria italica (foxtail millet). RNAcentral describes it as "long non-coding RNA (SITA_LNC003179)". The record is from RNAcentral. Lineage: Eukaryota; Viridiplantae; Streptophyta; Magnoliopsida; Poales; Poaceae.